GUUUGAUUAUGGCUCAGGAUGAACGCUGGCGGCGUGCCUAAUACAUGCAAGUCGAACGAGAGUGCUUGCACUCUAGUGGCGAACGGGUGAGUAACACGUAGGUAACCUGCCUUACAGUUUGGGAUACCCUGGCGAAAGCUAGGCUAAUACCGAAUAAUUGGAUUGGAGGCAUCUCCGAUCUCUAAAAGGGGCCUUUAAAGCCUCGCUGAAUGAUGGACCUGCGGCGCAUUAGCUAGUUGGUGAGAUAACAGCCCACCAAGGCGAGGAUGCGUAGCCGACCUGAGAGGGUGAACGGCCACACUGGAACUGAGACACGGUCCAGACUCCUACGGGAGGCAGCAGUAGGGAGUUUUCGGCAAUGGGGGCAACCCUGACCGAGCAACGCCGCGUGAAUGGAUACGAAGGUCUUCGGAUUGUAAAGUUCUGUUAUAAGGGAAAAAUGAUAUGGUGAGGAAAUGCUCCAUAUUUGAUGGUACCUUAUUAGAAAGCCACGGCUAACUACGUGCCAGCCGCGGC
RNAcentral lists this ribosomal RNA (516 nucleotides) under uncultured bacterium. RNAcentral describes it as "bacterial SSU rRNA". It matches the Rfam family "Bacterial small subunit ribosomal RNA", at positions 11 to 518 of the family's 1533-position model. The record is from RNAcentral.